UUAUAAUUAAAAAUUAAUUAAGAAGAAAUUAAAUAGAGAUAUUAAAUUUAAAGUAUUUGGCGGUAUUUUAAAUAGUUAGAGGAAUUUGUUAAAUAAAUGAUAAUCCACGAGUGGAAGGUCCUAAAAUAAUUUUUAUGUAUUGUUGUAUUAAAAUUAUUUUCGAAGAAAUAUAAUUAAAAAGUUUAAGAUAAUUUGAAUUCAAAUCAAAAUGUAGAAUUAUUAGGUUUAAAUGAAUUACAGUUUAAUUAAAUAAUAGAAUUAUUUUUUUAAUAAGAAUAAUGAAAGAGAAUUUAAAAGUAAAUUUAAAAAAAUAUUUAGAUUGAAAUAUUAAUUAAAAUAUG
This 341-nucleotide ribosomal RNA is filed under the name Pheidole sospes. RNAcentral's name for it is "partial 12S ribosomal RNA". Lineage: Eukaryota; Metazoa; Arthropoda; Insecta; Hymenoptera; Formicidae. The record is from RNAcentral.